GGUUAAGCGACUAAGCGUACACGGUGGAUGCCCUGGCAGUCAGAGGCGAUGAAGGGCGUGCUAAUCUGCGAUAAGCGCCGGUAAGGUGAUAUGAACCGUUAUAACCGGCGAUACCCGAAUGGGGAAACCCAGUGUGACUCGUCACACUAUCAUUAACUGAAUCCAUAGGUUAAUGAGGCGAACCGGGGGAACUGAAACAUCUAAGUACCCCGAGGAAAAGAAAUCAACCGAGAUUCCCCCAGUAGCGGCGAGCGAACGGGGAGGAGCCCAGAGCCUGAAUCAGCAUGUGUGUUAGUGGAAGCGUCUGGAAAGGCGCGCGAUACAGGGUGACAGCCCCGUACACAAAAGCGCAUGUGCUGUGAGCUCGAUGAGUAGGGCGGGACACGUGGUAUCCUGUCUGAAUAUGGGGGGACCAUCCUCCAAGGCUAAAUACUCCUGACUGACCGAUAGUGAACCAGUACCGUGAGGGAAAGGCGAAAAGAACCCCGGCGAGGGGAGUGAAAAAGAACCUGAAACCGUGUACGUACAAGCAGUGGGAGCACAGGUUUACCUGUGUGACUGCGUACCUUUUGUAUAAUGGGUCAGCGACUUAUAUUCUGUAGCAAGGUUAACCGAAUAGGGGAGCCGGAGGGAAACCGAGUCUUAAUUGGGCGUUAAGUUGCAGGGUAUAGACCCGAAACCCGGUGAUCUAGCCAUGGGCAGGUUGAAGGUUGGGUAACACUAACUGGAGGACCGAACCGACUAAUGUUGAAAAAUUAGCGGAUGACCUGUGGCUGGGGGUGAAAGGCCAAUCAAACCGGGAGAUAGCUGGUUCUCCCCGAAAGCUAUUUAGGUAGCGCCUCGUGAAUUCAUCUCCGGGGGUAGAGCACUGUUUCGGCUAGGGGGCCAUCCCGGCUUACCAACCCGAUGCAAACUGCGAAUACCGGAGAAUGUUAUCACGGGAGACACACGGCGGGUGCUAACGUCCGUCGUGAAGAGGGAAACAACCCAGACCGCCAGCUAAGGUCCCAAAGUCAUGGUUAAGUGGGAAACGAUGUGGGAAGGCCCAGACAGCCAGGAUGUUGGCUUAGAAGCAGCCAUCAUUUAAAGAAAGCGUAAUAGCUCACUGGUCGAGUCGGCCUGCGCGGAAGAUGUAACGGGGCUAAACCAUGCACCGAAGCUGCGGCAGCGACACUGUGUGUUGUUGGGUAGGGGAGCGUUCUGUAAGCCUGCGAAGGUGGCCUGUGAGGGUUGCUGGAGGUAUCAGAAGUGCGAAUGCUGACAUAAGUAACGAUAAAGCGGGUGAAAAGCCCGCUCGCCGGAAGACCAAGGGUUCCUGUCCAACGUUAAUCGGGGCAGGGUGAGUCGACCCCUAAGGCGAGGCCGAAAGGCGUAGUCGAUGGGAAACGGGUUAAUAUUCCCGUACUUGGUGUUACUGCGAAGGGGGGACGGAGAAGGCUAUGUUGGCCGGGCGACGGUUGUCCCGGUUUAAGCGUGUAGGUGUGUGUUCCAGGUAAAUCCGGUUCACUUUAACACUGAGGCGUGACGACGAGGCACUACGGUGCUGAAGCAACAAAUGCCCUGCUUCCAGGAAAAGCCUCUAAGCAUCAGGUAACAUCAAAUCGUACCCCAAACCGACACAGGUGGUCAGGUAGAGAAUACCAAGGCGCUUGAGAGAACUCGGGUGAAGGAACUAGGCAAAAUGGUGCCGUAACUUCGGGAGAAGGCACGCUGACACGUAGGUGAAGUGAUUUACUCAUGGAGCUGAAGUCAGUCGAAGAUACCAGCUGGCUGCAACUGUUUAUUAAAAACACAGCACUGUGCAAACACGAAAGUGGACGUAUACGGUGUGACGCCUGCCCGGUGCCGGAAGGUUAAUUGAUGGGGUCAGCGCAAGCGAAGCUCCUGAUCGAAGCCCCGGUAAACGGCGGCCGUAACUAUAACGGUCCUAAGGUAGCGAAAUUCCUUGUCGGGUAAGUUCCGACCUGCACGAAUGGCGUAAUGAUGGCCAGGCUGUCUCCACCCGAGACUCAGUGAAAUUGAACUCGCUGUGAAGAUGCAGUGUACCCGCGGCAAGACGGAAAGACCCCGUGAACCUUUACUAUAGCUUGACACUGAACAUUGAGCCUUGAUGUGUAGGAUAGGUGGGAGGCUUUGAAGUGUGGACGCCAGUCUGCAUGGAGCCGACCUUGAAAUACCACCCUUUAAUGUUUGAUGUUCUAACGUGGACCCGUUACCCGGGUUGCGGACAGUGUCUGGUGGGUAGUUUGACUGGGGCGGUCUCCUCCUAAAGAGUAACGGAGGAGCACGAAGGUUGGCUAAUCCUGGUCGGACAUCAGGAGGUUAGUGCAAUGGCAUAAGCCAGCUUGACUGCGAGCGUGACGGCGCGAGCAGGUGCGAAAGCAGGUCAUAGUGAUCCGGUGGUUCUGAAUGGAAGGGCCAUCGCUCAACGGAUAAAAGGUACUCCGGGGAUAACAGGCUGAUACCGCCCAAGAGUUCAUAUCGACGGCGGUGUUUGGCACCUCGAUGUCGGCUCAUCACAUCCUGGGGCUGAAGUAGGUCCCAAGGGUAUGGCUGUUCGCCAUUUAAAGUGGUACGCGAGCUGGGUUUAGAACGUCGUGAGACAGUUCGGUCCCUAUCUGCCGUGGGCGCUGGAGAACUGAGGGGGGCUGCUCCUAGUACGAGAGGACCGGAGUGGACGCAUCACUGGUGUUCGGGUUGUCAUGCCAAUGGCACUGCCCGGUAGCUAAAUGCGGAAGAGAUAAGUGCUGAAAGCAUCUAAGCACGAAACUUGCCCCGAGAUGAGUUCUCCCUGAGACUUAAAGUCUCCUGAAGGAACGUUGAAGACGACGACGUUGAUAGGCCGGGUGUGUAAGCGCAGCGAUGCGUUGAGCUAACCGGUACUAAUGAACCGUGAGGCUUAACCUUACAACGCCGAAGAUGUUUUG
Molecule: ribosomal RNA, 2927 nt
Filed under: Salmonella enterica
Lineage: Bacteria; Pseudomonadati; Pseudomonadota; Gammaproteobacteria; Enterobacterales; Enterobacteriaceae
Description: LSU rRNA
Rfam family: Bacterial large subunit ribosomal RNA
Source: RNAcentral